GCACCAUCCAGCACGCAGUGAAAACCCUGCGGAAUGACCUGGAAAAACUCUAUAGACGCGACUAUACUACCCCAUUCGUCUUCGUGCCAAGACGCAUAAAUUAUCAGCCAAUUAGAGCCGAAAGGUGAAAAUCACGUGCGCGGAAAAGAAAAGAAACUCGUCCAUCAGUCUCCUUGCGCCGUAUAAAAAUGGAAUCAUUUCCAUCCGAAUGUUCAUCCAAGAAACAUCUCAGCACUUUGAAACUACUUGCCAAUCAUCUUCUGUCUUUAAAUCUACAACAUUAAAUGCGAAAACAUCGGUUACAUGCCCAGUACCGGUGAGAAAUCUGGAGGAAUUUGCUACGCCAAUUUUCAAUGCACUCAUUUCGCUCAUGGAAAUGGAUACUGUUUCAUGUUUAGCGAUUUCAGAGGAUUGUUUUCCAAGCAUGAAGCAGGGUGGACUUGUGGUUACAUUCCCAGUCGUCUCAAUUUAGUCGGAUAAGCAGUUGAACUAUACAAAGGAAAUAUAGAACCGCGGCUUUGAAAACGCCAAAAAUCAUGUUCGGAAAAUAUGGACACAAAAAUGUAUUAUGCUAUUGAUUCCCUCAACAAUAACAAAAAAAGGAAUUGGGAUUUUAUAGUUUUCAUCUAGUUGUCAUGUUUGACAGCAUCAAAACUAUUUAUUGCUGGCCAAUACAUUUGAUCCAUAGUUCA
Molecule: long non-coding RNA, 692 nt
Filed under: Daphnia pulex (common water flea)
Lineage: Eukaryota; Metazoa; Arthropoda; Branchiopoda; Diplostraca; Daphniidae
Description: uncharacterized LOC124190407
Source: RNAcentral